This 382-nucleotide ribosomal RNA is filed under the name uncultured eukaryote. Its description in RNAcentral is "partial 18S ribosomal RNA". It matches the Rfam family "Eukaryotic small subunit ribosomal RNA", at positions 592 to 976 of the family's 1831-position model. The record is from RNAcentral.
CAAUAGCGUAUAUUAAAGUUGUUGCAGUUAAAAAGCUCGUAGUUGGAUUUCUGGUUGAAGCGACCGGUCGGGCGUUGAUUCGUCUGCACUGGAGUCGGUUUUGGCCAUCCUCUAGGAAAGUGCGUCUGGUAUUAAGUUAUCGGGCGUAUGAUCCUGGUCUUUUACUGUGAAAAAAUUAGAGUGUUUAAAGCAGGCCUUCGCCUUGAAUGCAUUAGCAUGGAAUAAUAAGAUAGGACUUUGGUCUAUUUUGUUGGUUUGCAGACCGAAGUAAUGAUUAAUAGGGAUAGUUGGGGGUAUUUAUAUUCCGAUGUCAGAGGUGAAAUUCUUAGAUUUUCGGAAGAUAAACUUAUGCGAAAGCAUUUACCAAGGAUGUUUUCAUUAA